UGGUUUGUCGCGUCGUUCGUGAAAUCUCACGGCUUAACUGUGAGCGUGCGGGCGAUACGGGCAGACUUGAGUACUGCAGGGGAGACUGGAAUUCCUGGUGUAGCGGUGGAAUGCACAGAUAUCAGGAGGAACACCGGUGGCGAAGGCGGGUCUCUGGGCAGUAACUGACGCUGAGGAGCGAAAGCGUGGGGAGCGAACAGGAUUAGAUACCCUGGUAGUCCACGCCGUAAACGGUGGGUACUAGGUGUGGGUUUCCUUCCUUGGGAUCCGUGCCGUAGCUAACGCAUUAAGUACCCCGCCUGGGGAGUACGGCCGCAAGGCUAAAACUCAAAGAAAUUGACGGGGGCCCGCACAAGCGGCGGAGCAUGUGGAUUAAUUCGAUGCAACGCGAAGAACCUUACCUGGGUUUGACAUGCACAGGACGCCGGCAGAGAUGUCGGUUCCCUUGUGGCCUGUGUGCAGGUGGUGCAUGGCUGUCGUCAGCUCGUGUCGUGAGAUGUUGGGUUAAGUCCCGCAACGAGCGCAACCCUUGUCUCAUGUUGCCAGCGGGUAAUGCCGGGGACUCGUGAGAGACUGCCGGGGUCAACUCGGAGGAAGGUGGGGAUGACGUCAAGUCAUCAUGCCCCUUAUGUCCAGGGCUUCACACAUGCUACAAUGGCCGGUACAAAGGGCUGCGAUGCCGCGAGGUUAAGCGAAUCCUUUUAAAGCCGGUCUCAGUUCGGAUCGGGGUCUGCAACUCGACCCCGUGAAGUCGGAGUCGCUAGU
RNAcentral lists this ribosomal RNA (765 nucleotides) under uncultured bacterium. RNAcentral's name for it is "bacterial SSU rRNA". It matches the Rfam family "Bacterial small subunit ribosomal RNA", at positions 576 to 1339 of the family's 1533-position model. The record is from RNAcentral.